UACGGAGGGUGCAAGCGUUGUCCGGAUUUAUUGGGCUUAAAGGGUGCGUAGGCGGCUUAUUAAGUCAGGGGUGAAAGACUGCAGCUCAACUGUAGCAGUGCCUUUGAUACUGAUGAGCUUGAGUACAGAUGAGGCUGGCGGAAUGGGUGGUGUAGCGGUGAAAUGCAUAGAUACCAUCCAGAACACCGAUUGCGAAGGCAGCCGGCUGAGCUGUAACUGACGCUGAGGCACGAAAGCGUGGGGAUCGAACAGG
This 253-nucleotide ribosomal RNA is filed under the name uncultured bacterium. RNAcentral's name for it is "partial 16S ribosomal RNA". It matches the Rfam family "Bacterial small subunit ribosomal RNA", at positions 524 to 776 of the family's 1533-position model. The record is from RNAcentral.